GAUGAACGCUGGCGGCGUGCCUAAUACAUGCAAGUCGAGCGAACAGACGAGGAGCUUGCUCCUCUGACGUUAGCGGCGGACGGGUGAGUAACACGUGGAUAACCUACCUAUAAGACUGGGAUAACUUCGGGAAACCGGAUCUAAUACCGGAUAAUAUAUUGAACCGCAUGGUUCAUUAGUGAAAGACGGUUUUGCUGUCACUUAUACAUGGAUCCGCGCCGCAUUAGCUAGUUGGUAAGGUAACGGCUUACCAAGGCGACGAUGCGUAGCCGACCUGGGAGGUUGAUCGGCCACACUGGAACUGAGACACGGUCCAGACUCCUACGGGAGGCAGCAGUAGGGAAUAUUCCGCAAUGGGCGAAAGCCUGACGGAGCAACGCCGCGUGAGUGAUGAAGGUCUUCGGAUCGUAAAACUCUGUUAUUAGGGAAGAACAGAUGUGUAAGUAACUAUGCACGUCUUGACGGUACCUAAACAGAAAGCAACGGCUAACUACGUG
This 497-nucleotide ribosomal RNA is filed under the name uncultured bacterium. Its description in RNAcentral is "partial 16S ribosomal RNA". It matches the Rfam family "Bacterial small subunit ribosomal RNA", at positions 28 to 507 of the family's 1533-position model. The record is from RNAcentral.